UCCUGCAUACAAAUUCAUUCCAAUAACAACAAAUUCACAUAAACUCAAUGACUACGAUCACCAUAAACAUAUUGUAACUCUUCAUCAUUGAAAACAAAAACAACCAAGAAAUGAAAAUGAGAAUUUUGAUAAACCAUCGAAAGCUUCUUUCAGUCUCUUUGCGUCUUGUUCUGGGGGAGGAACAAGAUCUGGCACUUUUAGUGUAGACAUUUUUUUUUUUCUCUCAGAUGGUUUUUUUUUUUUUUUCCCCUGGAGAGUGUGGGAAUAAAAAACCUGACGGGAAACUGAGAUGUCUUUGAGUUUUCGCCCCUGGAGAGUGUGGGAAUAAAAAAUGUAGACAUUUUUUUUUUUCUCUCAGAUGGUUUUUUUUUUUUUUUCCCCUGGAGAGUGUGGGAAUAAAAAACCUGACGGGAAACUGAGAUGUCUUUGAGUUUUCGAGUGUUUUGUCAGGUGAAGUUAAUCUUUCUUCAGUUCAAUCCUUUUUC
This 485-nucleotide long non-coding RNA is filed under the name Citrus sinensis (sweet orange). Its description in RNAcentral is "long non-coding RNA (CSIN_LNC002782)". The record is from RNAcentral. Lineage: Eukaryota; Viridiplantae; Streptophyta; Magnoliopsida; Sapindales; Rutaceae.